Molecule: non-coding RNA, 268 nt
Organism: Arachis ipaensis
Lineage: Eukaryota; Viridiplantae; Streptophyta; Magnoliopsida; Fabales; Fabaceae
Source: RefSeq, a predicted model, not a curated record
GAGAGAGACAGAGACGGUGCGACGCGAGAAAGGAGGCGAGCCGUCACAUCACCGUCGCCGAGUUGCGCGCCGUCACCGCCGCGUGCUCCGUCGCCGCUGUUGGAGGAGGAUGGCCGAGCCUCUGUUGCUGGAAAACGGCGCUGCCGUAGUUGAGGGCCACUGCCGUUGCUGUCAGUAGAGACUCGGGCCGCCGCCGUCACUUGAGGUAGCCGCCAGAGCUGCUACCGCUCCGUUACCUCAUUUCUUUUUAGACACAAUUUGGUGUUGC